This is a long non-coding RNA of Myotis brandtii (Brandt's bat), 1060 nucleotides long. RefSeq lists it as uncharacterized. The transcript is spliced from 2 exons. The record is from RefSeq and is a predicted model, not a curated record. NCBI's taxonomy places the organism in Eukaryota, Metazoa, Chordata, Mammalia, Chiroptera, Vespertilionidae.
UACCGUACUUAUCAGGGGGAUCACUUUGUAAAUUAUAUAAAUGUCUAACAUCUAUGCUGUACACCUGAAGCUGUUAUAAAUAAUACUAAAUGCCAAGUCUAAUUGAAAAAAAUAGUGCUUGUUCUUCAUGGUGCCUGGCUAGAGCAGCAGGCCCCACCAGCGCACAAUGACAGUGCAGCAUUCUGGUGGCCUCGACAGACAGUUCACUGUUGGUUACAGGGUAACUUCUUGGAGGAGCUAUGUCUUAAAGGAGUACUAGGUAAGUGGGAGGUGGAAAGAAUCUCUUUUUUGGGCAGAGAGAGAAAGAUUAAACAGAAGCCAAGGGUGAGGGAGAGAUGAGGGCAGGGCCAGGAAACUGGGAGAAGUUCAUUGUUGUUUGAGGGGGAAUUGUGGUAUAAGAUAGCACACGGUGCAUCUGGAGGUUGGGUGGUUCAACAUUUACCAGCACAAUGUGGAAGAUGAGGUUCAGGAAGAAGACAAAAACCAGAUCAUAUACAUUUUGUAUGUCAUGCUCAGGAGCCUGAGCUUCAUGCUGAGAGUUGUAGGGAGUCAUUGGAUCAUUUAGAGAAGUGAAAUGCUCAGCAUUAAAUUUCAUAAAGAUAACUCAGAGGAUGGGUUCAUGCAACAAGUCCAAUUCAAAGCUCUCCUGUCUCCUCGGACGUGGCCCCCCAUUUCAUCUCCCCUCCAACAAGUUCAUUAAGGAGUCGCCGCACACCUCUCCUCGGCCCACAGAUGCCAGCUCGCCUAUCUCCUCCCAGAGCCUGCUCGUGGCUUUCUGGACAGCUGACCAAAGCCCCACAAGACUCACUAAAGAUGCGUGUGGGACUUGCUGCCGGAGGAAAGAACCGCGUUUCCUCUGCUGGGCUGGUGCCGGUUGGCAGGCUGCAAAGGGAGAUUCUGGCCACGAGGAGGGCGGGGCGGAGCCCUGAAGGUGGAAACGCAGGCCUCUGGGAAGAGGUGCCUGCUGCUCAGCCGUGGGGGAGGGGAGGUCUUUCAGGCACACCUCUUUCCAUGGAUGUUCUGUUCUUGGGAGGAGUAAACAAGGCAGGUUUCUUUGAAA